Molecule: ribosomal RNA, 818 nt
Filed under: uncultured Gammaproteobacteria bacterium
Lineage: Bacteria; Pseudomonadati; Pseudomonadota; Gammaproteobacteria
Description: bacterial SSU rRNA
Rfam family: Bacterial small subunit ribosomal RNA
Source: RNAcentral
AGAGUUUGAUCCUGGCUCAGAUUGAACGCUGGCGGUAUGCUUAACACAUGCAAGUCGAACGGAAACGAUGGUAGCUUGCUACCAGGCGUCGAGUGGCGGACGGGUGAGUAACGCGUAGGAAUCUGCCUGAUAGUGGGGGAUAGCCCAGAGAAAUCUGGAUUAAUACCGCAUAAUCUCUAUGGAGUAAAGGAGCCCUCUUCUUGAAAGGUUUCGCUAUCAGAUGAGCCUGCGUAAGAUUAGCUUGUUGGUGAGGUAAAAGCUCACCAAGGCGACGAUCUUUAGCUGGUCUGGGAGGAUGAUCAGCCACACUGGAACUGAGACACGGUCCAGACUCCUACGGGAGGCAGCAGUGGGGAAUAUUGGACAAUGGGCGCAAGCCUGAUCCAGCAAUACCGCGUGUGUGAAGAAGGCCUGAGGGUUGUAAAGCACUUUCAAUUGUGAAGAAAAGCUAAUGGCUAAUACCCAUUAGCCUUGACGUUAACUUUAGAAGAAGCACCGGCUAACUCCGUGCCAGCAGCCGCGGUAAUACGGAGGGUGCAAGCGUUAAUCGGAAUUACUGGGCGUAAAGCGUGCGUAGGUGGUUUGUUAAGUUAGAUGUGAAAGCCCUGGGCUCAACCUAGGAACUGCAUUUAAAACUGGCAAACUAGAGUAUAGGAGAGGAAAGUGGAAUUUCAGGUGUAGCGGUGAAAUGCGUAGAUAUCUGAAGGAACAUCAAUGGCGAAGGCAGCUUUCUGGACUAAUACUGACACUGAGGUACGAAAGCGUGGGUAGCAAACAGGAUUAGAUACCCUGGUAGUCCACGCCGUAAACGAUGACAA